This 428-nucleotide ribosomal RNA is filed under the name uncultured archaeon. Its description in RNAcentral is "bacterial SSU rRNA". It matches the Rfam family "Archaeal small subunit ribosomal RNA", at positions 474 to 903 of the family's 1478-position model. The record is from RNAcentral.
UACCUGCAGCUCAAGUGGUGACCGCUAUUAUUGGGCCUAAAACGUUCGUAGCCGGUUUGGUAAAUGCCUGGGUAAAUCGUGUAGCUUAACUAUACGAAUUCCGGGUAGACUGCUAAACUUGAGACCGGGAGAAGCUAGAGGUACUCCUGGGGUAGAGGUGAAAUUCUGUAAUCCUGGGGGACCACCAGUGGCGAAGGCGUCUAGCUAGAACGGGUCUGACGGUGAGGAACGAAGCCCUGGGGCGCAAACCGGAUUAGAUACCCGGGUAGUCCAGGGUGUAAACGCUGCUUGCUUGAUGUUAGUUGGGCUCCGAGCCCAAUUAGUGUCGGAGAGAAGUUGUUAAGCAAGCCGCCUGGGAAGUACGAUCGCAAGAUUGAAACUUAAAGGAAUUGGCGGGGGAGCACAGCAACGGGUGGAGCGUGCGGUUU